GGUCAAGCGAAUAAGCGCACACGGUGGAUGCCUUGGCGGUCAGAGGCGAUGAAGGACGUGGCAGCCUGCGAAAAGUAUCGGGGAGCUGGCAACAAGCUUUGAUCCGGUAAUGUCCGAAUGGGGAAACCCACCCGCUUGCGGGUAUCCUGCAGUGAAUACAUAGCUGCUGGAAGCGAACCUGGUGAACUGAAAUAUCUAAGUAACCAGAGGAAAAGAAAUCAACCGAGAUUCCGUAAGUAGCGACGAGCGAACGCGGACUAGCCCUUAAGCUGAUUUGGUUCUAGGAAAACGCUCUGGAAAGAGCGGCCAUAGAAGGUGAUAGCCCUGUAUCUGAAAGGGCCAUUUCAGUGAAGACGAGUAGGGCGGGGCACGUGAAACCCUGUCUGAACAUGGGGGGACCAUCCUCCAAGGCUAAAUACUACUGACCGACCGAUAGUGAACCAGUACCGUGAGGGAAAGGCGAAAAGAACCCCGGAGAGGGGAGUGAAAUAGAACCUGAAACCGUGUGCGUACAAGCAGUAGGAGCUCCGCAAGGAGUGACUGCGUACCUUUUGUAUAAUGGGUCAGCGACUUACUGUUCGUGGCAAGCUUAACCGUAUAGGGGAGGCGAAGGGAAACCGAGUCUGAUAAGGGCGCAUAGUCGCGGGCAGUAGACCCGAAACCGGGUGAUCUAGUCAUGCCCAGGGUGAAGGUGCGGUAACACGCACUGGAGGCCCGAACCCACUCCCGUUGCAAAGGUAGGGGAUGAGGUGUGAUUAGGAGUGAAAAGCUAAUCGAACCCGGAGAUAGCUGGUUCUCCUCGAAAGCUAUUUAGGUAGCGCCUCAUAUGUAUCCUCUCGGGGGUAGAGCACUGUUAUGGCUAGGGGGUCAUCGCGACUUACCAAACCAUUGCAAACUCCGAAUACCGAGACGGACUGUAUGGGAGACACACGGCGGGUGCUAACGUCCGUCGUGAAAAGGGAAACAACCCAGACCCACAGCUAAGGUCCCAAAUUCACUGCUAAGUGGAAAACCAUGUGGAAAGGCACAGACAGCCAGGAGGUUGGCUUAGAAGCAGCCACCCUUUAAAGAAAGCGUAAUAGCUCACUGGUCGAGUCGGUCUGCGGGGAAGAUUUAACGGGGCUAAGCAGUGAACCGAAGCUUGGGGUGCAUAACUUUGUUAUGCGCGGUAGAGGAGCGUUCCGUAAGCCGUUGAAGGUGGAUUGAGAAGUCUGCUGGAGGUAUCGGAAGUGCGAAUGCUGACAUGAGUAACGAUAAUGCGGGUGAAAAACCCGCACGCCGAAAGCCCAAGGUUUCCUUGCGCAACGUUAAUCGGCGCAGGGUGAGUCGGCCCCUAAGGCGAGGACGAAAGUCGUAGUCGAUGGGAAGCAGGUUAAUAUUCCUGCACCUCGCGUAAGUGCGAUGGAGGGACGGAGAAGGUUAGGUGUACCAGGCGUUGGUUGUCCUGGGGAAAGGCGGUAGGUUUGGAUCUUUGGCAAAUCCGGGAUCCUUCAAGACCGAGCACCGAGACGAGCCUUUAUGGCAAAGUCACUGAUACCACGCUUCCAGGAAAAGCUCCUAAGCUUCAGCUUACGCAGACCGUACCGUAAACCGACACAGGUGGGUAGGAUGAGAAUUCUCAGGCGCUUGAGAGAACUCGGGUGAAGGAACUAGGCAACAUGGCACCGUAACUUCGGGAGAAGGUGCACCCUUUUUUGGUGGCUCGUGCGAGCUAUAGCUGAAGAGGGUCGCAGUAACCAGGCCGCUGCGACUGUUUAUCAAAAACACAGCACUCUGCAAACACGAAAGUGGACGUAUAGGGUGUGACGCCUGCCCGGUGCUGGAAGGUUAAUUGAUGGGGUCAGCCGCAAGGCGAAGCUCUUGAUCGAAGCCCCAGUAAACGGCGGCCGUAACUAUAACGGUCCUAAGGUAGCGAAAUUCCUUGUCGGGUAAGUUCCGACCUGCACGAAUGGCGUAACGACAGCGGCGCUGUCUCCACCCGAGACUCAGUGAAAUUGAAAUCGCUGUGAAGAUGCAGCGUUCCCGUGGCAAGACGGAAAGACCCCGUGAACCUUUACUAUAGCUUUACACUGAACGUUGAGUUCGUCUGUGUAGGAUAGGUGGGAGGCUAUGAAACUGUGGCGCUAGCUGCAGUGGAGCCAUCCUUGAAAUACCACCCUGUCGUGCUUGACGUUCUAACCUGGGCCCAUUAUCUGGGUCGGGGACCGUGUAUGGUGGGUAGUUUGACUGGGGCGGUCUCCUCCUAAAGAGUAACGGAGGAGCUCGAAGGUACGCUCAGCGCGGUCGGACAUCGCGCACUGUGUGCAAAGGCAUAAGCGUGCUUGACUGCAAGAUCGACGGAUCAAGCAGGUAGGAAACUAGGACUUAGUGAUCCGGUGGUUCUGUAUGGAAGGGCCAUCGCUCAACGGAUAAAAGGUACUCCGGGGAUAACAGGCUGAUACCGCCCAAGAGUUCAUAUCGACGGCGGUGUUUGGCACCUCGAUGUCGGCUCAUCACAUCCUGGGGCUGUAGUCGGUCCCAAGGGUAUGGCUGUUCGCCAUUUAAAGUGGUACGCGAGCUGGGUUCAGAACGUCGUGAGACAGUUCGGUCCCUAUCUGCCAUGGGCGUUGGAGAUUUGAGAGGGGCUGCUCCUAGUACGAGAGGACCGGAGUGGACGAACCUCUGGUGUUCCGGUUGUCACGCCAGUGGCAUUGCCGGGUAGCUAUGUUCGGAAGCGAUAACCGCUGAAAGCAUCUAAGCGGGAAGCGCGCCUCAAGAUGAGAUCUCCCGGGGCACAAGCCCCCUGAAGGAACCAUGUAGACUACGUGGUUGAUAGGUCAGGUGUGUAAGUACAGCAAUGUAUUGAGCUAACUGAUACUAAUGAUCCGAGAGGCUUGACCAU
RNAcentral lists this ribosomal RNA (2881 nucleotides) under Stenotrophomonas africana. Its description in RNAcentral is "23S ribosomal RNA". It matches the Rfam family "Bacterial large subunit ribosomal RNA". RNAcentral also lists the same sequence under 1 other name. The record is from RNAcentral. Lineage: Bacteria; Pseudomonadati; Pseudomonadota; Gammaproteobacteria; Lysobacterales; Lysobacteraceae.